This 454-nucleotide ribosomal RNA is filed under the name uncultured bacterium. RNAcentral's name for it is "partial 16S ribosomal RNA". It matches the Rfam family "Bacterial small subunit ribosomal RNA", at positions 28 to 507 of the family's 1533-position model. The record is from RNAcentral.
GAUGAACGCUGACAGAAUGCUUAACACAUGCAAGUCAACUUGAACUUCGGUUUGGGUGGCGGACGGGUGAGUCACGCGUAAAGAACUUGCCUCACAGAUAGGGACAACAUUUGGAAACGAAUGCUAAUACCUGAUAUUAUGAUUAUAUGGCAUCGUAUAAUUAUGAAAGCUAUAUGGGCUGUGAGGGAGCUUUUCGUCCCAUUAGGUAGUUGGAGAGGUAACGGCUCACCAAGGCGAUGAUGGGUAGCCGGCCUGAGAGGGUGAUAGGCCAAAAGGGGAAAGAGAAACGGCCCGUACGCAAAAGGGGGGGAGGAGGGGGGAAAAAUGGAAAAAGGACCAAGAGUCUGAAACAGGAAUUCUGAGUGGAAGAAGAAGUUUUUCGGAAUGAAAAGAGGUUUCAGUUGGGAAGAAAAAAAUGACGGUACCAAAAGAAGAAGGGACGGCUAAAUACGUG